AAUGUCUCAUUUGGGAAGUCAUCCAAAUUAGCUGCCUUAGAGGCUUCUGGAGCCACUGGAUAUGUUCUGGUUGCUUCUCCAACGGUUGGCUCAUUCCGAAGGAACAGAACAGUGAAAGGAAAAAGGCAACCUCCCAUCUUUAAAGAGGGUGAUAUAAUUAAAGAAGGACAGGUGAUAGGGUAUUUGGAUCAAUUUGGUACUGAACUUCCUGUGAAGUCAGAUGUCGCUGGAGAAGUCUUAAAGCUCCUCUUUGAUGAUGGAGAUGCUGUUGGUUAUGGAGAC
RNAcentral lists this unclassified non-coding RNA (282 nucleotides) under Hevea brasiliensis (rubber tree). The record is from RNAcentral. Lineage: Eukaryota; Viridiplantae; Streptophyta; Magnoliopsida; Malpighiales; Euphorbiaceae.